UACGAAGGGGGCUAGCGUUGUUCGGAUUUACUGGGCGUAAAGCGCACGUAGGCGGAUCGUUAAGUCGGGGGUGAAAUCCUGGAGCUCAACUCCAGAACUGCCUUUGAUACUGGGGAGCUAGAGUCCGGGAGAGGUGAGUGGAACUGCGAGUGUAGAGGUGAAAUUCGUAGAUAUUCGCAAGAACACCGGUGGCGAAGGCGGCCAUCUGGACGGUCACUGACGCUGAGACGCGAAAGCGUGGGGAGCGAACGAG
RNAcentral lists this ribosomal RNA (253 nucleotides) under uncultured bacterium. Its description in RNAcentral is "partial 16S ribosomal RNA". It matches the Rfam family "Bacterial small subunit ribosomal RNA", at positions 524 to 776 of the family's 1533-position model. The record is from RNAcentral.